Molecule: ribosomal RNA, 1268 nt
Filed under: marine metagenome
Description: bacterial LSU rRNA
Rfam family: Bacterial large subunit ribosomal RNA
Source: RNAcentral
CUGGUGAUCUACCCAGGGGCAGGUUGAAGGUUGGAUAGUCUCCAACUGGAGGACCGAACCGGUACAUGUUGAAAAAUGUUCGGAUGACCUGUGGGUAGGGGUGAAAGGCCAAUCAAACCAGGAGAUAGCUCGUACUCCCCGAAAUGCAUUUAGGUGCAGCGUCGUGAAGAGUGUCAUGGAGGUAGAGCUACCGAUAGGGCUAGGGGGCUUCACCGCCUACCAACCCCUGACGAACUCCGAAUGCCAUGACAUUGCAGCGGCAGUGAGGCUAUGGGUGCUAAGGUCCGUAGCCAAGAGGGAAACAACCCAGACCAUCAAUUAAGGUCCCAAAGUAUAUACUAAGUUGAAUGAACGAGGUGGGAAUGCUAAGACAGCUAGGAUGUUGGCUUGGAAGCAGCCAUUCAUUUAAAGAGUGCGUAACAGCUCACUAGUCGAGCGUUCCUGCGCGGAAAAUAAUCGGGCAUCAAGUAUAUCACCGAAAUUAUGGAUUGUACGUAAGUACAGUGGUAGGGGAGCAUUCUAAUUGCGUUGAAGUUGUACCGUGAGGUAUGGUGGAGCGGUUAGAAAAGAAAAUGUAGGCAUGAGUAACGAUAAAAUAGGUGAGAAACCUAUUCGCCGUAAGACUAAGGGUUCCUAGAUCUAUGCUAAUCAGAUCAGGGUUAGUCGGCACCUAAGGUGUACCCGAGAGGGGAAGCCGAUGGAAAACAGGUUAAUAUUCCUGUACUUGUUUAUACUGCGAUGGGGUGACGGAGAAGCGUAAGACCUGCCAUGUGACGGAAUACAUGGUUGAAGUGCGUAGGCGUUGAUUCAGUAGGUAAAUCCGCUGAUGAGCAGAAACACGAUAGUAUUUAAUCUUGCUUGCAAGAUUGAAAUAAUGGUCCCAAGCAUACUUCCAAGAAAAACCCCUAAGCUUCAGGUAUAAACAAGCCGUACCGUAAACCGACACAGGUAGUCGAGGAGAGUAUCCUAAGGCGCUCGAGUGAUUCAUGGCUAAGGAACUAGGCAAAAUGGUCUCGUAACUUCGGGAGAAGAGACGCUCUAAUUAAAUUUAGAGCCGCAGUGAAGAGGCCCAGGCGACUGUUUAGCAAAAACACAGGACUCUGCAAAAUCGUAAGAUGAAGUAUAGGGUCUGACACCUGCCCGGUGCUGGAAGGUUAAGGAAGGUUGUUAGUCUUCGGACAAAGCAAUUGACUGAAGCCCCAGUAAACGGCGGCCGUAACUAUAACGGUCCUAAGGUAGCGAAAUUCCUUGUCGGGUAAGUUCCGACC